RNAcentral lists this ribosomal RNA (427 nucleotides) under uncultured bacterium. RNAcentral's name for it is "partial 16S ribosomal RNA". It matches the Rfam family "Bacterial small subunit ribosomal RNA", at positions 355 to 774 of the family's 1533-position model. The record is from RNAcentral.
UGGGGAAUAUUGCACAAUGGGCGCAAGCCUGAUGCAGCCAUGCCGCGUGUGUGAAGAAGGCCUUCGGGUUGUAAAGCACUUUCAGCGAGGAGGAAGGGUAGUGUGUUAAUAGCACAUUGCAUUGACGUUACUCGCAGAAGAAGCACCGGCUAACUCCGUGCCAGCAGCCGCGGUAAUACGGAGGGUGCCAGCGUUAAUCGGCAUUACUGGGCGUAAAGCGCACGCAGGCGGUUUGUUAAGUCAGAUGUGAAAUCCCCGCGCUUAACGUGGGAACUGCAUUUGAAACUGGCAAGCUAGAGUCUUGUAGAGGGGGGUAGAAUUCCAGGUGUAGCGGUGAAAUGCGUAGAGAUCUGGAGGAAUACCGGUGGCGAAGGCGGCCCCCUGGACAAAGACUGACGCUCAGGUGCGAAAGCGUGGGGAGCAAACA